RNAcentral lists this ribosomal RNA (400 nucleotides) under uncultured bacterium. RNAcentral describes it as "bacterial SSU rRNA". It matches the Rfam family "Bacterial small subunit ribosomal RNA", at positions 355 to 752 of the family's 1533-position model. The record is from RNAcentral.
UGAGGAAUAUUGGUCAAUGGACGCAAGUCUGAACCAGCCAAAUCGCGUGAAGGAAGACUGCCUUAUGGGUUGUAAACUUCUUUUAUACAGGAAUAAAAAAAGUUACGUGUAACUUAUUGCAUGUACUGUAUGAAUAAGCAUCGGCUAACUCCGUGCCAGCAGCCGCGGUAAUACGGAGGAUGCGAGCGUUAUCCGGAUUUAUUGGGUUUAAAGGGUGCGCAGGCGGGCUUUUAAGUCAGCGGUGAAAUCCCGACGCUUAACGUCGGCACUGCCGUUGAAACUGGGAGCCUUGAGUAUAGAUGAAGUAGGCGGAAUUCGUUGUGUAGCGGUGACAUGCUUAGAUAUAACGAGGAACACCAAUUGCGUAGGCAGCUUACUAAACUAUAACUGACGCUCAAGC